CUCAUUAAAAGAGUGCGUAAUAGCUCACUGGUCGAGUGACUCUGCGCCGAAAAUUUAACGGGGCUAAACUAUACACCGAAGCUUGGGAUACAUCUAAUGUAUGGUAGGAGAGCGUUCUGUAUGGGGAGAAGUCGUAGCGAAAGCGGCGGUGGACUAUACAGAAGUGAGAAUGCCGGAAUAAGUAGCGAGAAUUAAGUGAGAAUCUUAAUGGCCGAAAGUCUAAGGUUUUUGGAGGAAGGUUCGUCCGCUCCAAGUAAGUCGGGAGCUAAGGUCAGGCCGAAAGGCGUAGCCGAUGCACAUACGGUUGAUAUUCCGUAACCAUCUGUAAUUUAAGCAAAGGGACACUUCAAAAGGGUGUGACCCGGGCGUUGGUUGACCCGGGCGUAAGGGACCGAAAUUAGAGUAGGGAAGCACACUUGGCUGAAGGCGAGAAAAGCUUUGCGUAUAGAAACAGAUGCCCGUACCGCAAACCGACACAGGUGGACAGGAAGAGAAUUCUAAGGCCAGCGGGAGAAGGGUAGUUAAGGAACUCGGCAAAUUGACUCCGUAACUUCGGAAUAAGGAGUGCUCGAAAGAGCCGCAGAGAAUAGGCCCAGGCGACUGUUUAGCAAAAACACAGGUCUCUGCCAAAUCGAAAGAUGAAGUAUAGGGGCUGACACCUGCCCGGUGCCGGAAGGUUAAGAGGAGGAGUGAGAGCUCCGAAUUGAAGCCCCGGUAAACGGCGGCCGUAACUAUAACGGUCCUAAGGUAGCGAAAUUCCUUGUCGGGUAAGUUCCGACCCGCACGAAUGGUGUAACGAUCUGGGCACUGUCUCAACUACCCACCCGGCGAAAUUGUAGUACCGGUGAAGAUGCCGGUUACCUGCGGCAAGACGGAAAGACCCCAUGGAGCUUUACUGUAGCCUGAUAUUGGGUUUCGGAAAUCUAUGUACAGGAUAGGCGGGAGACUUGGAAACAUGAGCGUCAGCUUGUGUGGAGUCGAUGUUGGGAUACCGCCCUUAGGUUUCUGGAAUUCUAACCUGCGGCCGUGAAUCCGGUCGGGGGACAUUGUCAGGUGGGCAGUUUGACUGGGGCGGUCGCCUCCGAAAAGGUAACGGAGGCGCUCAAAGGUUAGCUCAGCACGGACGGAAACCGUGCCUCUGAGUGUAAACGCAAAAGCUAGCCUAACUGCGAGGGUGACGGCCCGAGCAGUAACGAAAGUUGGAGUUAGUGAUCCGGCGGUAUGUGAAUGGAAAUGCCGUCGCUCAACGGAUAAAAGCUACCCUGGGGAUAACAGGCUGAUCUCCCCCAAGAGUCCACAUCGACGGGGAGGUUUGGCACCUCGAUGUCGGCUCAUCACAUCCUGGGGCUGUAUUCGGUCCCAAGGGUUCGGCUGUUCGCCGAUUAAAGUGGUACGCGAGCUGGGUUCAGAACGUCGCGAGACAGUUCGGUCCCUAUCUGUCGUGGGCGCAGGAUAUUUGAGGAGCUCUGUCCUUAGUACGAGAGGACCGGGAUGGACGUACCUCUGGUGCACCAGUUGUCAUGCCAAUGGCACGGCUGGGCAGCUAUGUACGGAACGGAUAAACGCUGAAAGCAUCUAAGCGUGAAGCCGACUCCAAGAUUAGAUAUCCCAUCGUAUAACGAGUAAGACCCCUUGAAGACUACGAGGUUGAUAGGCUGCGUGUGUAAGUGCCGUGAGGCAUUCAGCUUGGCAGUACUAAUAGGUCGAGGGCUUGACCA
RNAcentral lists this ribosomal RNA (1718 nucleotides) under human gut metagenome. Its description in RNAcentral is "bacterial LSU rRNA". It matches the Rfam family "Bacterial large subunit ribosomal RNA", at positions 1118 to 2925 of the family's 2925-position model. The record is from RNAcentral.